CCUGCUCACUGAAAUUUAUAGGAGCUCUGUCCCUGGGAGGAAAGAUGAGCUCUGUUCUGAGUUGUGCUUUUUCCCAGCCUAUUUGGAAAAAAUAUACUCAGGCAGGUUGUAACAACUGAAGCAUGAGCUAUUUAUGUGCUGUUGGGUAUUUCCAUGUUGAAAUAUUUGACAGGCUCUAUGUUAAAUCUGUGGGUUGGGUUUCUAAAUGCCUAUCUCCAAGCCUCUCCCUUCUGCCUUGUUAAAAGAAAGGCUUUAAGAAAGGAAGUGAGGAAACUUGAAAGUUAAAUGUAUUCAAGGGGUUUGCUCAGAGAGCACAGGAAGCCUUCCAUAGUAUCAGCUCUCUCAUUGAAAUUGCUAUAUUAAUUCUAUUGAUUAAUUAGUUUGUGAUUCUUUAAACACUGUAAAUGCCUCUAGGACUUUUUAAGGAAGAAGUUGCACUUGGGGAUAGAGCUCUCAAAGACACCAGAAUCAAAUCAGGCUAAGGCUUCAUUUGCCUUGUAAUACUUGGCCCACAGCUGAUGAGGAUGUGUUUUACAGGGCUGAAGGUAAGAAGCAAUCACUUCAGCUGUAUGUGUCUGAAGGAAGUUUGCUUAGAAACCACCUUCUAGAGGAAAAAGAUAAAAAAUCCCUGCCCUAUUCAAGAAGAGCAUCAGGCUGCCUGGUGUGAUUUGUGGUGGGGAGGCAUGUAUUACUGACAGCAGACUGGCUCAGGCUGGUGCCUUUACUGUCAAGUCUUAAUGAUGAUGCCCUUGCCUGGAAACAAUGCCCAACCUGUGACCAGGGACCCUCUGCUGCUGGAGCUGGUGUCUGCAGAUGCUCUCUUGGGCUAUGGCAAUACCACAUGUGUAGCUGUGCAAGCACCAGUUUAAACAUCACUAUGGUUAGAAGACUUCAGUACUACUUCCCUCCAGAACACAAGCAGAACCUUCACAGCUCAUAAAGCCAGAAGAGACUUGUGAUCAUCCUGUCUGCCUGCUGCAGGACCCAGUGAAGCAGUAGGAAGCAUUUCAGAUGUGGGUGCUCAUUUUCAGCACACAAGUUAAAGGAGCACCGUUAAAAGUGGAAACACUACUUCUACAAUCAAAGGAGGUACCUGGGGAAAAAAAAACUUCCAGGGGAAAAAAUCCAUCAUGUUGCCUCCUACUUGCCUAAAUACAAUGGUUGGGGUAAGCUGAGGACAAUGUUUUGCUUCAAAACUGCAUUUCCUGCUCUCAGUCAACCUACAGCUUACCUCAUCUGGUAUGUUCACCCCAAAAGAAUCACAGCCCAGUGACAAUAACACAGGCAGCUUUGGUUGACAAAGGUGACUUUACAGUGCAACAGCAUAAACAUCCUCAUGAGGGUGUCAUCCUUUCAUGCAUCUCAUGGGAUACCCUAUAUAUGAAGUUCUAAAUCCAUUUAGUAGUUGGUGCUAUUAGGAGUAGAUAGAAUCCAUCUGAGUGGGUGAAUGCCAAAGGGGAUUAUUUAUUUUACUGUAACACAAAUCUAUGCUUAAUAGGAGGGAAAAGUAUAUUUAUUAUUUUUUAAUAUAAAUAAGGGAAAAUACAAGGAAUUAUUACUGGCAAUAAACCAGUGCAAUUCAUAGCUUGGUUGUAACAGCUGUGUAACUGUGUAGAUUGCAGAAGUUGUCAGGGGAUGAAUUCAUGGCUGGACAUGAGCCUGGCUGAGGGUUGGUAGCAGCAGGGUGUUGGUGUGGAGCAUGCACUCGAGGUGAUGCAAUGGGGGAGCUUCCGUAUCACUGCACAACUUUGCCUCAUUUCCAGGUUAACAUCCUGCACCCUUCUUGUAGGUUGUACAGCACCCUGUUUCAGCUAAUUUAUCAACAUGUAACUUCUGCUCAGCAGGCUCUAUCAUCCUGUCCCAUAGCAACGCUAUGUGUGUAGUAAACAAAUUGAUGCCCUGCAUUACUGCUUCUUAGGUACUUCCUAAUUCCUAGUAUGGAGGAACUGCAUGAGAACUG
Molecule: long non-coding RNA, 1960 nt
Organism: Pezoporus flaviventris
Lineage: Eukaryota; Metazoa; Chordata; Aves; Psittaciformes; Psittacidae
Exons: 3
Source: RefSeq, a predicted model, not a curated record